RNAcentral lists this ribosomal RNA (433 nucleotides) under uncultured bacterium. RNAcentral describes it as "partial 16S ribosomal RNA". It matches the Rfam family "Bacterial small subunit ribosomal RNA", at positions 29 to 507 of the family's 1533-position model. The record is from RNAcentral.
AACGAACGCUGGCGGCAUGCCUAACACAUGCAAGUCGUACGAGACCUUCGGGUCUAGUGGCGCACGGGUGCGUAACGCGUGGGAACCUGCCCUUAGGUUCGGAAUAACUCCCCGAGAGGGGUGCUAAUACCGGAUAAUGUCUUCGGACCAAAGAUUUAUCGCCUUUGGAUGGGCCCGCGUUGGAUUAGCUAGUUGGUAGGGUAAAAGCCUACCAAGGCGACGAUCCAUAGCUGGUCUGAGAGGAUGAUCAGCCACACUGGGACUGAGACACGGCCCAGACUCCUACGGGAAGCAGCAGUGGGGAAUAUUGGACAAUGGGCGAAAGCCUGAUCCAGCAAUGCCGCGUGAGUGAUGAAGGCCUUAGGGUUGUAAAGCUCUUUUACCCGGGAUGAUAAUGACAGUACCGGGAGAAUAAGCUCCGGCUAACUCCGUG